GGUAGCAUCCGCUUUGUAAUUGGCUGCCGCCUCGAUGGAUCGUAUGUGACGCAAAGCUAGCACGAGAGACUCGGCGCUCUGGCAACCGCGGCUGAUGGACUACGGGAGCGCGCCCCAGCGAGAACGGCCAGCUGUUCAUAUGCAUUCUGUGCUGUCAGCAACAUUCAACUUGAUUUUCUCAACUGAAAUAGAAACAUUAAAUAGAGGAAAAAUGCGUCAGGAACAUCAAAGAAAAUGUGGAAUAAUGGGCUGCUAAGCUAUUGGUUCCUGUAUGCCCUGUGAAGAUAUUUAUAUACCAUAAUCUGGUCACCUAAAGUCUUCUUUUUGGUAAGCUAAACAGCGAGAGCUUCUCACUAUGAGGCAUUUUCUUCAGCUCUUGAAUAAUUUGUAUAGCUCUUUUAUAGCCCCUCUCCAGUUUUUCAACGUUACUUUUAAAAUGCAGAUCUCAGAACUGGACACACUAUUCUAGUAUUGAUCUCACCAAUGCUGUAAUGAAGAAAAACCAUUUGUCUGCUCCUACUCACUAGUCCUGUGUUUAUGAAGCCAAGGAUCAUAUUAGCCCUUUUAGCCACAGCACUGCACUGGUAGCUCAUGAGUUGUUUGUGCACUAGGACCCCUCAUUUCUUUACAGAGUCACUGUUUUCCAGGACACCCCCUCCCCCCCCCCCCAUUCUUUAGGAAUGGCCUGCAUUCUUCAUUCCUAGCUGUAGGGCCUUGCAUUUGUAUUAAAAACACAUUUUAUUUGAAUGGGCCCAGCCUACCAAGGGAUCCAGAUCGCUGUGUAUGACUUGCCUUGUCCUCAUCACUGUUUACCACCCUGGCAAUCUUUAUGUCCAUCUGCAAAUUUAAUCAGCUUUGACUUUAUAUUUACUUCCAGAUCAUUGAUUAAACUAUUGAAUGAAAUAUUGGUGAAAGGUCUUGAAUUGACAGUUGAAGCCUUUGGUUUAUUCCCUGUGGCCAUAACAAUAGGAAAUAGGGGUACAGCACAGAACACGCAGCCCAGGGGGAGGAGACGCUAAAGUGGCUUUGAGUCACCUUUGCACCUUUACAAUCCUGGUCUGCUCCAAGGAGCCCAGUGUAACUUAGAGAGUCCUUUGGGCAUUUCUAAGUUAUAACAGCCUUUUUGGGCUGCCCUAUGGACUGUGGCACUGCCUGGAACCUUUACAACAUUGCAUACUGUGGCCCUGCCCCCAAUACGAUACUUCUGCCUCCAGCAUGACACUAUCCCAGGCCUUGCAAAGGGGAUUUUGAAGGGCAGCCUUAUGGCCAUCUUGUGCAGUACCUGCACCAGGGGAAUGCUCCCCUGGCAUGAACCAGGGCUUUUAGGAUCCCUUUAUGCCACUCCAGCCCUUUUACUCAGUGUAAAGGUGUCAGGGUGGGUGUGAGGAUAUUACAGUGUGAACGUAAGAGAACCUUACCUCUUCCUAAUCUGUCAUUUUGACUGUGCCCAAGAGAACUCUAAACCAGCACUUCUGUUCAUGCACUCCCAUAAACCGUCAUUUUGAUCUGUGCAGCAUCAUUGCACUGGGAAGUUCUUCCAUAGAUUCCAAGGCCAGUAUGAAUCACUGUGAUUAUCUAGAACUUCCCCCAAAUAAUUCCUAGAGCAGAUCAUUUUGGAAAAAUAUCCAAUCUUGAUUUUAAAAUUGUCAGUGAUGGAGAAUCCACUACAAUCCUUGAUAAACUGUUUCAAUUAUUAAUUACUCUCGCUGUUUAAAAUGGAUGCCUUAUUCCCAGUCUGAAUUUGUCUAGCGUCAACUUCCAGCCAUUGGAUUGUGUUAUACCUUUCUCUGCUAGUUUGAAGACCCCAAUUAUCAAAUAUUCAUUCCCCAUGUUGGUAUUUAUAAACUGUGUGCAAGUCAUCCCUUAAACUUCUCUUUGUUAAGCUAAAUAGAUCGAACUUCUUGAAUCUAUUAAUAUAAGGCAUAUUUUCUAAUCCUUUAAUCAUUCUCAUGACUCUUAAUGCUCUCCAAUUUAUCAACAUCUUUCUUGAAUUGUGGAUAUGAGAAUUGGACACAGUAUUCCAGCAGCAUUUGCAUCAGUGCCAAAUAGAGGUAAAAUAACCUCUCUAUUCCUACUUGAGAGUCUCCUGUUUAUACAUGUAAGGAUAACAUUAGCCCUUUUGACCACCGUGUCAAAUUUGGAGUUCAUUUUCAGCUGAUUAUCCACGUGUCCCCCAAGUUUUUUUCAGAGUCACUGCUUCCCAGAAUAGUGUCUUCCAUCAUGUAAGUAUGGCCUGCAUUCUUUGU
Non-coding RNA from Chrysemys picta bellii (western painted turtle), 2246 nucleotides. Lineage: Eukaryota; Metazoa; Chordata; Testudines; Emydidae. The record is from RefSeq and is a predicted model, not a curated record.